This 9618-nucleotide long non-coding RNA is filed under the name Gossypium barbadense (sea-island cotton). Its description in RNAcentral is "long non-coding RNA (GBAR_LNC019290)". The stretch from base 5882 to 6043 matches the Rfam family "U1 spliceosomal RNA". Lineage: Eukaryota; Viridiplantae; Streptophyta; Magnoliopsida; Malvales; Malvaceae. The record is from RNAcentral.
UUCAUUCAGAUUAGAAAUUCAAAGUUUCUGAACCUUUUAGGGAGUCAUACCGCACAUAUGUAGUUGCUGAAAUUGCCAAGUAUUAGGCCUUUGAAGAAGUUUUCCUUAAUGGCUUGGAUAAGCCUUGAUGCAAUUGAGUUGGCUUGAGUAGCCUUGAGAUGCAAUUGAAUUGGCUUGAGAAGCCUUGUGGAAAACAAGUGGCUCGAUAGUAGCCUUAACAUGAAUGCGUUGUGAUGGCUUGUGGGGAAACCUUGAGACAAAUCGUGGGUUUUUUGGCCUAGUUGAGAAUAGGCCUUGAGUAGGCUCUUAGUUGCCUAGUUGAAGGUACUAGAGUCUUUCCUCACCUGGUGGAUGGUGUUGGCUUGCAUGGGCUUGAGUUGCCUAUUGAGAUAAGAGAAAAAUUGUGAAAUGGGGCACACGUUGUAUCGUGUAAGUCUUGAGGGACAUAAAUGACUAAUGAGUGCACCUUUAUUUUGGUGUAGGAGAGCCUCAGCGGGGAUAUGAGCAAGUGUGUGCUUGAGUAGUGUCAAAGUACACCUGAGUAGCAUUCAAGUGUGCUUGAGUAGCGUUGGAGCAGGUGAAUGCUCAUUUUGAGGCAAUUGAGUUCGAGAGCGCUUGACUAGCGCUGGAGCCAAUGAAUGCUCCUAGAGGCAACAAGCUAGAGUGCACUUGAGAAACGUUGGAGCAAGUGAAGUGUCCUCUUGAGGAAAUUGAGUUUGAGGGCACCUGAGUAGUGCAAGAGUGCGCCUAGGUAGUGUUGGAGUGGUUGCAAGCUCCAUCUGUGUUGGCCAAUGGGCCAUUGCGAUCAAGAUAGGCUUAGAAGGCCUAGCGAGAUUAAAUGGUCAGAGGACCAUUCAAGAUUAUGGCAUGGUAAGCCAAUUUUGUAUUUUGUGUUGUGCAGGUCAACGAACCUAUUGAGUCGAGCAAGGCAGAUGCAAGCCAUGAGUUUGAGUCGAGAUGAGUCGGAGGACCCUUGAGUUUGAGUUGGUCGGAGGACCAUAAGUGGAUUGAUGGAUCCUUGUGUUUUGGAUAGGGCUUAGGAUGCCCUUAUUCACGAUGAGCUACUACUACAUGAAAUUUGUGGAGCUAGUCCAAGCAUCACCAAGUUUUGAGCUAGAGCUGAUUGAAGGGUUAUUGAGUCUGAGAGCUUGAGCAAGAGAACAAGUGAGGGUGUCUUGUUCGUGUUUAUUAAAGCAACCUGUGAGAUUGUACGAAGAAACGAGCAGCGUGCCAGAGUUUGCGUGAAUGAGCAUCAAAGUCUGAAAUUGAGAUCAAGCUAGAGUGGUGGUGCCACAUGUGUCACGGUUGGCCAAGAUGGCCACACCUUGUGGGGUGACCAUAGAGGGGUUGAGAGGGCCUAAGUUGGGGAUGACCAUGUGUCUAAAUUUCCUAUGUUGAGAACUUGAGUUUUGGUGCCACAAGGAGUGGUUGGCAUAAACCACGUCCAGAGGGACGCAUCCAACCGGAUGCCAUAAGAGUGCAGUUGGUGCCACAUCUAGAGGGGUGCAUCUUUAGGUAUCAAAGACAUGGUAAUAUUCAGUCGACAAAGGGUCAUACCAGCGAGGGUUCCUCAAGGUCGUAACUUGAUGAUUAUGUGUUGUGGCAUUGAGUCUGAGCGUUUGGUGGAGGAAUGGGCAUAUACGAGACUACACCAGCGAUUGAGAUGAGAUCAAAUUUGAGUCUAUGUCCAAUGCGCGUUGAAUGGAUCAUAAUCUUAGGCCUUGAGGGCCCAAGAUGGACUUGCAACAGAAACGUCAACUCAAUGCAACAAGGUUUCUAAAGGUGUGGCUCCAUGUUGAUGAGGGCAUCGACAUAGUAAGUGGGGGGAGAGUGUCCUGGUCCGCAAGUUACCAUGCUAGUUAUCAAAGUUGAGCUUUCCCCAAAUGGUCUUUGAGUGAAAUUAAAUUAAGUGAUCAUUUACCUUAGUCCUUUCAGAGAUUAAGAAAUAUAAAUUAAAUACUAAAAUUACAUAUAGAUUUUAAUGCGGUAAAGUUGCCAUAAUUUUAUUCAGAUUAGAAAUUUGAAAGUUUUUGAACCUUCUUGUGGUGAGUCAUAACUUACAUAUUUAGUUGCUGAAAUUGCCAAGUAUUAGGUCUUUGAAGAAGUUUUCCAUAUGUUUCUCAUUUUACGAAUCUAUCCAGGUGAGAAACUCCCAAGUAGAAUGUGCUUGCUGGCUAUGUUAACAUUCUCAUAAUUGCAUUAGUGUACAAGUUUGUUGCUUGUGGGGAGUUUUUAACAUAAUUAUUUAGUUGUUGAAAUUGCGAGUAUUAGGCUUUUGAAGAAGAUUGACUUAUGUUUCUGGAUUUACCAAUGUAUCCGGCUGAGAAAUUCUCAACUGGAAUCUGUUAACUCUCUUAAUUGCAUUAGAGUACAAAUCAGUUGCUUGUGGGGAGUCAUAACAUGCAUAUGUAGUUGUUGAAAAUGCUGAAUAUUAGGCUUUUGAAGAAUAUUGACUUAUGUUUCUUGAUUUACUAAUGUGUCUGACUGAGAAAUUCUAAACCAAAAUGUGCUCGCUGGUUAACUCUCUCGUAAUUGCAUUAGUGUACAAGUCAGUUGCUUUGUGUUUGUUAGUAAAUUCAAUUUUAUUGAAUGAGAAAACUCUAAUUCCAUUCCCUGUCCAUGUAUUUCCUAAACUUCUCUUUGGGAAAUUUUUUUGUUGUGUGUUUCGUGUCAUGUUCAUUGUCUAGCUUGAACAAUCUAAUGAGGCCAUAUCUGAAACAUUAUUACAUCUGGUAUGACAGGAAUUUUUUGCACUGUCUUUACCAGGGCUUGCAGGCAUGCUGCUUGCGCAUGCUGCUAAGACCGUGUUCUUAACAGGUGAGACCCACUCUGAUUUAUCUGUCAUGCUGCUUUGUCACUUUGGCUUAGGGUUAGUUUAGCAAUGCUUUUGAAAAGUGCUGUGGAAAAGUGCUUUUGACUUUUGAAAAGUUUGGUUUAAGAUUUGAGUGUUUAGCAUUGCUGUCAAAAAGUGCUUUUAAGAAAUAAAUAUCCAUUUUAGACAUAGUAUUAUCAAGUAACAAAUAUGCAUUUAAAUAAUGUUCAAAUUAGUUAAUAUUAUUAUAUUUUAGUAAGAAUAUAAAAAUAGUUUAUUAUAACUUGUUGUUAAUAUUUUAAUAUAUGAAAUAUAAAUUUAAAAUAUUUUUAAGCCAUAAAUAUUAAUUAUUUAUAAAAUUUAAUUAGAAUAUAUAAACUAUAUUUUAAAUAUAAUCAUUAAAUAUUUGUAAUUAGAUAUUAACACAUUUGUAUUAUUUUAAUUUUUUUUAUUUUUAAUUAAUAAUUUUAACACAUUUGUAAUUAAGCACAAAGAAAAAAAAAAGGGAAAGUACCAUGUUGUUGGAGGGGUGAAAAAGUAAUUAAGCACCACAAGUGCUUUUGGAGGAGAAAAAGCUAAAAAUUUUAGCUUCUCCUUUUCAAAAGUACUUUUCAAAAGCUAAAAAAUUCAGCCAAAAGUGCUUUUUUGAAGCACUACUAAACAAGCCCUUACUCAGAUUACCUGUUACACCCGAUUGCUUCAGCUACUUAGGUUAUGCAUUAUUGCUGACAGACCAUGGUGACCAAAUCCUCGAAAACUGUCUUAAGAAUGUUCAACUUAAUUCUGGAGUCCUUAAUCAUCAGAAAGUAGUUUAUGUGCGUGAACUUGAUUGGACUCACCCUUGGCCUCCUAAAGUUAGCUCAGACCUGGCAACUCAAGAAAGGUGAUUCAUUUGGUUUCAUUGCUGGACUUGUUUUAAGAUAUAGAAGUAUUUAUAUUAUUUCCAUUUAUGAUAUGUACUUAUUCCAUGGAGGAGAUAAGAGCUCAGCCCUUUAAAUUUUAAAUGGUUAAAUCCAGGUUUUCAUGGAGCUCCUCAGAACUUGAAGAAGUCCAGAAAGCUUCUCUGCUUUUAGCUGCUGAUGUCAUUUACAGUGAUGAUCUUACAGAUGCGCUAUUUGGUAUCUUAGAGAGAAUAAUGUCGCAAGGGUCUGAAAAGGUUGGUUAACAUUGUUAAAAUGGUCGCAUACCAGUACAUGGUGUAGGUAAUAAUACACUAGCGGAUUUUACUAAAGAGUGUCAUUAUCUGCUGUUUUUGUAUAUGUCACAUGAUUUAGGUUUUUGGAUUAACCCCGUAGUUAGUUUUCUUGCAAAGCUGAUGAUUGAACAUGUUACCAUAGGAAGAAAAUUCAAAGGGAGAUCAUGAACUUAAUGAAAAUUUUCUUGUUCCGCUGAGACUUAUCCACAUCAGAUGUUAUAUCUGGAUGGAUUUCAGUUGCCUGUGCAUUUUUAGGCAACGGGCUGAAUUCUGUUACCUAUACUAGUUAAUAUAUGAUAAGGUUUCUACCAAGUUGUAGUGAUUGCGGAUUACAUUCUAUGCUUAUCUCAUUUGUUCACAUGUGUGUUAGUCCUCAUUCUCAUCUGCUUAGAUAAUGUUCUUUGAGGUUCCCCAUAUAUCAAUAGGACUAUCAUCGUGUGCAUUCCUGUGGUUUUCAGGUGUUAUACUUGGCACUGGAAAAACGCUACAACUUCAGUCUUGAUGAUCUUGAUGUUGUAGCAAAUGGUUAUUUAAAUUUCAGAAGUUACUUGAAAGAUGACAGUGGUAGGUAUAUUACAAUGCAAAAAAUGUACAUGCCGCCAUAAGUUUCUUGUCUUCUGGGUUUUAUUCCUGAUGUAUCUUUACAUUGAAUGAUGCAGAAUGUGAAGGCCUUGAGCUCGGUUCCUUGCCUUGUUUUAUGGGUAAAUGUAUCGAUGUUGCAGAAAUUCCACAGUAUGUGGGAGGAUAUGACCGAGGAGACGAUGUUGAGCUUUGGGAGAUUAGAUACAGUAAAGGAAAGCUAUAAUUGAAAGGUAUACAAAAUUUCUAAUUAUGUGUUGCCGUUGAUAAUUUUUGUUGGUUACUUUGUAAUUGUACUAUUUGAAACACCCCCAUUCUAAAUUCAUACAAUACCACAGUUGAAAGUGAGGAAUUUGUAGGUGAAUUCCAUGGACUUUCCGGCUUGGGCAUCACCACAGGCUUCUAAAUGAAGAUUUUGGGAGAUGUGAAGUCGAAGCACCGUCACGUUAGGGCGAUGGGAUCGUUUUAUAUAUGCUAAGAUUAGAGCUCAAGUUUGAUUUGAAAUGCAGGUCUCAAAGCUCAAUACUAGCUUAAUCAAGUUUUGCUUUUAAAUCUCGAGCUUGGUUUGAGGUGAAAAUUUGAAUUGCUUGAGCUGAUUCGGUUGAACUUGUUUAGUUAUUUCCCAGGCUCGUCUUCAAGAUUGGGUCGAGUUCGAUUAGAUAUUUCUCAAUAUUAAUUAAAAACAAAUACUCAAAAUCUCUGUUUAUUGGACUCUCUUUACUUGUCUAAUGUAGUGGUCUUAGGUGAAAAUAUACAACAUUUUUCUACCUAAAAAUUGGUACCAAAAACAAUGUUAUAGAGGCCUAAAUAUAAAUAUAAAAUAAAUGAUUAAAUGUGUUAUAAUUAUAAACUUAAAUGCAAUAUGUGGUAGUACAGAAAUAAAUGCAAUGUGUAUGGAGCAUCUCAUGUUUAAACAUUUUAUAGGGUAUUUAUUACCUUACUUAGUGAGUUGCUUUCGUGUUAAUUAAAUAUAUUGUACUAAUACCUCCAUUAUAUUAAAAUUUAUAAAGAGACUUGAACAUAAGAUACAAAGAAUUUUAAUAAUUUCAAUUAAAACUUUAUAUUUUCAUAUAUAAUUUUUUAUUAAAUAUGCUUAUUAUAUAUCUACUGUGUUAACCAGUUCCUUUUUACCUUUUAAAAGCGGAAAAUAAUAACAGAAAAACCAAAUCUUUGUGAUUAGAGAUGCUUUAAAAGAGGGCUGUUGCCAGCUGAGAUGAUAACUCCCACACCGCUAGAUGAUGGUAUUGGAGCAAAACGCUGGAGUAUAAAUAAAAGGCAAGCUGCUACUUUACAAUAUACUUACCUGGACGGGGUCAAUGGAUGAUCCUGAAGAUCCAUGGCCUAGGGUAGUGACCUCCAUUGCACUUGGGAGGGGUGCUACCCUAAGGUCUCCCCAAGUUGGGAGAGCCUACGUCAUAAUUUGUGGCAGCGGGGGCCUGCGUUCGCGCGGCCCCUACCCAAUUUUUAAGUUUUAAGGAUUUUACUGAUCACAAUCUUUUGUAAUUGGUGUUCUGUCUACAAUCUUUCAUUUGGGAGCUUUUGUUUAUGUUGUUUGGUCUGGGUUGGGGAAAUGAUAUCCCAAAUGUACAGGAUCUGCAGGAGUUUGCAGUAAAAGCUGAAAAGAUCCACCAAUGUUCCGACUAUUUAAUAUCUGUGUUUAGCACUUGCACCUAAAAUAUUACCAUCUAGCAACAAAAGCUACACUACAGAAAGACCAUUAUUGACCACCACUUUAUAAAUGUUGCAGUCGAUGGAAAAAUCGUGCUUGGAUUGUCUGAUAUAGACCAUUAAACCCCUCAAAGAAGCUUAACUGCUUCUUCCCAAUCAUGUCUAUCGUUUCGAGAACCUUCUUUUCCAUCCUUCACCUCCAUAACGAUGGCAGGUUCCUGUUGCAAUCAUGUUUAUUUUCAACAUGUUAUUGUCCAUGUAAAAAAAAUAAGACAACUGGUAAUUGAUUCAACUGUAUGCCACUACAAUUCAAAUUCAUUGGUUCAACGACACUUUAAUCCAAAACAACAAUUAUCAUUGGAAAUGGAACUAAUAUAGGUAGCUUCAAGGACGAGUUUUUUAAGCCAUUCCAAGUUUCUUUUCAUCAAACAAUGUUACAAUAUUGGAGAAGAUAUCAAAGAAAACAUAAUUUAAGUGGAGAUGUAUAAAAAAAAAACCUAAUGCUGGUGAUUUAGAUCCAGUAAUUAAUUAUAUAAAUAUAAAUGAUUAAAUUUGUCAAAAUUAUAAACAUGAAUGCAUUAUGUGUAUUGAACAUCUCAUGCUUAAACAUAAUAUACAUUACUUAUAUUAUUUUCGUGCUUAUUAAAUAUGUAGUAUUAGUGUAGCUUAAUCACAGUUCUUUUUUACCUUUUAAAGAGGAAAACAAUGACAGCAAAAAACCAUAACUAUAUGCAUUGGGAAGAGACUAACUGAGUGUACCACAGAUCCCACACCGCUAGAUGAUGGCAAUGUAGCAAAGCGCUAGGUAUAUAAAUAAAAGGCAAGCUCCAACAUUACAAUAUACUUACCUGGACGGGGUCUAUAGGUGAUCAGGAAGAUCCAUGGCCUAGGGUAGUGACCUCCAUUGCACUCAGGAGGGGCGCUCCCCUAAGGUCUCCUCAUGUUGGGAGAGCCUACGUCAUAAUUUGUGGCAGCGGGGGCCUGCGUUCGCGCGGCCCCUUUCCAAUUUAGAAGUCUAAAGCUUUCAUUGAGUUAGUUUAAUUAAGAUAUUUGUUGACUUCUCACGUAUGGUAUUGUUGUCUUCUGCAAUGGCUUGUUAACAUAUAGAGAUUAUGUUUACGAUGUUUAAAAGUACAUCGUAUAUGUUCAUCAUUAUGCUAUGGGUUUGGCAAAUGAACUCUCAAAUGUGAAUGUUUUGUAAAAGAUUCACCAUUGUCACAGACACCUGCAUUGUGAAUAUUGAAAACAAGUGUAAGAAGUCUGAACUUAUUUUCCUCAACACAGGCAUUUAAAGUUUGAUCAGAGCUUGAUGUCUUCUGAUCCUUUGUCAACUCUCCAGGAUCAAAUGUAGAUGAAUAUACAUAUAUGCAAGGGUCUGUUUAACAAUCUGAUGUGCAAAGAAAACCUUCUGAUCUAUGUUAGAUCGAAAUCACACAUAUCCGUGUCUAGUACUUACACGUAAAACAUUAGCCGGAACAAAAGCUACACUGGAGAAAGGCCAUUAAUGACACUAAUGUUGCCAUUAAACCUCUCCAAAAGGUUAAUUGCUCCUUCCCAAUCAUAUCUACUGUUUUGAGAUGCUUCUUUGUCUUCUUAAACCUCCAUAACCAUGACAGAUUCCUAUUGCGUUUUCAGCAUGGUCAUGUCGAACAUAUACUCGAAUUCUUUCAGCUAUUUUCAAACAGAAGCUCAUGAAUUUUACCUGCAAUGCACUGUUAAAACACGUCUCUCUGAUAAUGAAACGAGCCAUUGCAACCACAUGUUCUAUUCAAUAUCAAAGCAUCCUAAAUACAGAACUGGUGAUCGAUUCGACCAUAUGCAUCUAAAACUCGAAUCCAUCAGCUCAAUUUUUUCGUGCUUAUUAAAUAGUUCAAAUUCAUAUAACUACUUAAAUUAAGUCUAUAGCGAUUACCUAGUGCUCUUUUAGCUUUAAGAAAGUGAAACUAUAGUAAAAAACAGAAAAGAAUGUGCUUAGAUAAACCUUCAUAAGAGGGCCUGCAGACUGCUUGACAUGAACCUCAUUUUUAUAACUUUGUUUAAUUCCCACAUGGCAAAGCGAUGACAAUUGAGCAAGACGCUGGAGCUACAAAUUAGAGGCAAGCUCAUACUUUCAAACAUACUUACCUGGACGGGGUAGAUGGAUGAUCUGGAAGAUCCAUAGCCUGGGGUAGUGACCUUCAUUGCACUUGGGAGGGGUGCUCUCCUAAGGUCUCCUCAAGUGGGAGAGCCUACGUCAUAAUUUGUGGUAGUGGGGGCCUGCGUUCGCGCGGCCCUAACCCAAUGUUGAAGUUGAAAGUUAAUGUGGAGGAGUUAAAUUCAAUGAAUGGGAUUUCCUUAAUUGCUGAAAGAACUGAAGGAUUUAAACUAGCCAUUUCAUCCUCUUUCUAUUAAUCAAAGCCAUCAUGAAAUAGAACUGGUAAUGGAUUCAACCAAGUGCAUUUGCCCGACAUUUUAAUCCAAAAGUAAUUGUAUAUCAUCCGAAGCUGAACUAGUAUAUGGGUUGCUUCGCUGAAUUCAAGUUUCUUUUAAUCAAACAUUGAUGUUGCAAAACAUACCAGAGAAAACAUAAUUAACUGCAGAAAAUAAAUAUUAUAUGUUUCUUACAUUACUUUUGUUCUUAUUAAAUAUAUCAAAUUCAUAUUACUAUUAAAAUCAAGAGUUCUAUAUCGAUUAACUAGUGCUUGUUUACUUUUACGAUAAUAGAAAACAGAAGAGAAUGUGUGAUUAGAAUGGCUUCACAAGAGCCUGCUGAGUGGAUGUUUCUUAAUUCCAACAUCGGUUAGAGAAGACAGUCGAGAAAAUAAAUAAAUAACUUUUCACCUCACGUAUUAUGUUCACCAAGAAGAUUUAAUUAGUUACCCAAUUACUAAGAAGUUUUGUCAUUCAUUCAUCUAUUAUGCUUGUGCCAGUUUUUUGUUUUCUAAAUAAAAUUUUGAUGAACCUUCACAUUUGAGUAUAAACAAAUGGACCCAAAGCCCAAAGAGAUAAUACAUUAACAUCAAAGAUACUAGGACCAACCCUAGCCCAACAAAUGGGCCGAACUCUAGCCAACUAAACCAUCUACUGCUGUUGUCGCUGCAACUAACAGCAAGGGAGAGAGGAGGCGUGGCUGAAAAAGCCUGAACAAUUGGAGCAACCGUACUCUCAACCAGGGAUUUAAAUUGCGGUCGCGGUCGCGUUUUCGGUCGCAUUGCGUUUAUCGUGGUUGCGGACAUAACGGAUGCUAUUGCGGUCAUUGCAGGUAUCGCGGUCGUGAAUUUUACAUUACUUAUUGUGUAUUGCGGGUAUAGCGGGUUUCGGCAGUAGCGGUUUCGGACGGUGCCGUUACCGCUAUAUAACGGCCGCUAUUUCGGUAACGGACCGC